Non-coding RNA from Thalictrum thalictroides, 170 nucleotides. The record is from the annotation of a GenBank genome assembly. Lineage: Eukaryota; Viridiplantae; Streptophyta; Magnoliopsida; Ranunculales; Ranunculaceae.
ACGGCAACAUUGAGGGUCAAUGAGUGAUCAAGAAUGCUAAUGGGAUCAUGGCCUAGGUUCGUGACCUCCAUUGCACACUUGGGAGGGGUGUUUAGCCUAAGAUCUCCCCUUUGUGGGUGCAUCUACAUCAUAAUUUGUUGCUGCUGGGGUGUGCGCUUGCGCCGCCCCAA